GGCUCAGGACGAACGCUGGCGGCGUGCCUAAUACAUGCAAGUCGAGCGGACAGAAGGGAGCUUGCUCCCGGAUGUUAGCGGCGGACGGGUGAGUAACACGUGGGUAACCUGCCUGUAAGACUGGGAUAACUCCGGGAAACCGGAGCUAAUACCGGAUAGUUCCUUGAACCGCAUGGUUCAAGGAUGAAAGACGGUUUCGGCUGUCACUUACAGAUGGACCCGCGGCGCAUUAGCUAGUUGGUGGGGUAAUGGCUCACCAAGGCGACGAUGCGUAGCCGACCUGAGAGGGUGAUCGGCCACACUGGGACUGAGACACGGCCCAGACUCCUACGGGAGGCAGCAGUAGGGAAUCUUCCGCAAUGGACGAAAGUCUGACGGAGCAACGCCGCGUGAGUGAUGAAGGUUUUCGGAUCGUAAAGCUCUGUUGUUAGGGAAGAACAAGUGCGAGAGUAACUGCUCGCACCUUGACGGUACCUAACCAGAAAGCCACGGCUAACUACGUGCCAGCAGCCGCGGUAAUACGUAGGUGGCAAGCGUUGUCCGGAAUUAUUGGGCGUAAAGGGCUCGCAGGCGGUUUCUUAAGUCUGAUGUGAAAGCCCCCGGCUCAACCGGGGAGGGUCAUUGGAAACUGGGAAACUUGAGUGCAGAAGAGGAGAGUGGAAUUCCACGUGUAGCGGUGAAAUGCGUAGAGAUGUGGAGGAACACCAGUGGCGAAGGCGACUCUCUGGUCUGUAACUGACGCUGAGGAGCGAAAGCGUGGGGAGCGAACAGGAUUAGAUACCCUGGUAGUCCACGCCGUAAACGAUGAGUGCUAAGUGUUAGGGGGUUUCCGCCCCUUAGUGCUGCAGCUAACGCAUUAAGCACUCCGCCUGGGGAGUACGGUCGCAAGACUGAAACUCAAAGGAAUUGACGGGGGCCCGCACAAGCGGUGGAGCAUGUGGUUUAAUUCGAAGCAACGCGAAGAACCUUACCAGGUCUUGACAUCCUCUGACAACCCUAGAGAUAGGGCUUUCCCUUCGGGGACAGAGUGACAGGUGGUGCAUGGUUGUCGUCAGCUCGUGUCGUGAGAUGUUGGGUUAAGUCCCGCAACGAGCGCAACCCUUGAUCUUAGUUGCCAGCAUUUAGUUGGGCACUCUAAGGUGACUGCCGGUGACAAACCGGAGGAAGGUGGGGAUGACGUCAAAUCAUCAUGCCCCUUAUGACCUGGGCUACACACGUGCUACAAUGGACAGAACAAAGGGCUGCAAGACCGCAAGGUUUAGCCAAUCCCAUAAAUCUGUUCUCAGUUCGGAUCGCAGUCUGCAACUCGACUGCGUGAAGCUGGAAUCGCUAGUAAUCGCGGAUCAGCAUGCGCGGGGGAAAAACCUUUCCCGGGGCCUUGUACACACCGCCCGUCACACCACGAGAGUUUGCAACACCCGAAGUCGGUGAGGUAACCUUUAUGGAGCCAGCCGCCGAAGGUGGGGCAGAUGAUUGGGGUGAA
This 1483-nucleotide ribosomal RNA is filed under the name Bacillus pumilus. RNAcentral describes it as "16S ribosomal RNA". It matches the Rfam family "Bacterial small subunit ribosomal RNA". Lineage: Bacteria; Bacillati; Bacillota; Bacilli; Caryophanales; Bacillaceae. The record is from RNAcentral.